RNAcentral lists this unclassified non-coding RNA (330 nucleotides) under Hevea brasiliensis (rubber tree). The record is from RNAcentral. Lineage: Eukaryota; Viridiplantae; Streptophyta; Magnoliopsida; Malpighiales; Euphorbiaceae.
ACCAAGAACGUAGACUUCCUUAAAGUUACUUCAGUGCAUGGUGGGUUGAAGAAUUUGCCACUGUUGCCUUGGUUGUUCACUGGAUUGGUGACAUUACUUAAAGAGUUAAAAAUGAUAGAAAUUAAGCCUUCCACACUCUUUGGUUUUCAGGGUUGAUGAAAAUGCAUGAGAACAGUUGUUGCACUUGAGGUUUUCUAUGAGAUGUCUUAGAGGAUCAUGAUCUCAUUAGCCUUAUAUAUGUUGGAAGUGUCAAGGUCAUUUGAUCGAAGUAAAGAGUGUGUUUGAAAAAAAUAAUAAGACAAGCAUUAUGAAAUAGAAUGAUUGAUAGGU